Molecule: ribosomal RNA, 253 nt
Filed under: uncultured bacterium
Lineage: Bacteria
Description: partial 16S ribosomal RNA
Rfam family: Bacterial small subunit ribosomal RNA
Source: RNAcentral
UACGGAGGGUGCAAGCGUUAUCCGGAUUCACUGGGCUUAAAGGGUGCGUAGGUGGGCAGGUAAGUCCGUGGUGAAAUCCCCGAGCUUAACUCGGGAACUGCCAUGGAUACUAUUUGUCUUGAAUAUUGUGGAGGUAAGCGGAAUAUGUCAUGUAGCGGUGAAAUGCUUAGAUAUGACAUAGAACACCAAUUGCGAAGGCAGCUUACUACACAGUUAUUGACGCUGAGGCACGAAAGCGUGGGGAUCAAACAGG